UGUGUAGGCGGUUCUGUAAGUUUGGUGUGAAAUCUCCCGGCUUAACUGGGAGGGUGCGCCGAAAACUGCAAAGCUUGAGUGCUGGAGAGGAUAGCGGAAUUCCUGGUGUAGCGGUGAAAUGCGUAGAUAUCAGGAGGAACACCGGCGGUGUAGACGGCUAUCUGGACAGCAACUGACGCUGAGACAACGAAAGCGUGGGGGAGACAAACGA
RNAcentral lists this ribosomal RNA (211 nucleotides) under uncultured bacterium. RNAcentral's name for it is "partial 16S ribosomal RNA". It matches the Rfam family "Bacterial small subunit ribosomal RNA", at positions 568 to 777 of the family's 1533-position model. The record is from RNAcentral.